AUGGAAGGCGGAUACAAGCUCACACGCACACGAUGUUGGCCGAAGCCACCAGUUCCUUCCCAGAUCCACACGCAACACACACCAAGGAUUGUGAGCAAUGGAAGGUACAAGGGUGUGCUCCACCGCGCAUUGGUCGACCGAACCCAGGCGAGGAUGUCGUGCGUGAGCCUGCUCAGGCCGUGCCUGGACGCCGUUGUCGAGCCAGUACCAGAGCUGGCCGUGUCACCCCUGGGCCUAGAGUUCGGGGGGUCAGGUAUAGGUACUACAUGGAACACCAGCAGAGCAACAAGCUCAAUGAGAAGGCAACACUGGACCUCGUUCGGGUGUAGCGUCACAUACAUACUCACACGCCUAGCAAUUCUUGAAUUUACUAGGUAA
This 378-nucleotide ribosomal RNA is filed under the name Triticum aestivum (bread wheat). RNAcentral describes it as "partial small subunit ribosomal RNA". Lineage: Eukaryota; Viridiplantae; Streptophyta; Magnoliopsida; Poales; Poaceae. The record is from RNAcentral.